This 497-nucleotide ribosomal RNA is filed under the name uncultured bacterium. RNAcentral's name for it is "partial 16S ribosomal RNA". It matches the Rfam family "Bacterial small subunit ribosomal RNA", at positions 28 to 507 of the family's 1533-position model. The record is from RNAcentral.
GAUGAACGCUGGCGGCGUGCCUAAUACAUGCAAGUCGAGCGAACAGACGAGGAGCUUGCUCCUCUGACGUUAGCGGCGGACGGGUGAGUAACACGUGGAUAACCUACCUAUAAGACUGGGAUAACUUCGGGAAACCGGGGCUAAUACCGGAUAAUAUAUUGAACCGCAUGGUUCAAUAGUGAAAGACGGUUUUGCUGUCACUUAUAGAUGGAUCCGCGCCGCAUUAGCUAGUUGGUAAGGUAACGGCUUACCAAGGCGACGAUGCGUAGCCGACCUGAGAGGGUGAUCGGCCACACUGGAACUGAGACACGGUCCAGACUCCUACGGGAGGCAGCAGUAGGGAAUCUUCCGCAAUGGGCGAAAGCCUGACGGAGCAACGCCGCGUGAGUGAUGAAGGUCUUCGGAUCGUAAAACGCUGUUAUUAGGGAAGAACAAAUGUGUAAGUAACUAUGCACGUCUUGACGGUACCUAAUCAGAAAGCCACGGCUAACUACGUG